ACUCCAGGAAGCCGCAGCAUACGGCCUGAAGGAGGAAGGACGCGGUCAGUUUGAAAUAGCUGAAUCAAUGACAUCCUGAAAGCAGCAAUGCAGUUAAGACAGAAGCCCAUGUUUUGCUGUAUCUCCACACAGCUGGGCCAGUUCUGCAGAUGAUCAGAUGGAGUUCGCCAUCAUCACAUCCCUCAUUGCUGCAGUCAGACUGAAACAGGACGGUGAUGCAUGGCAGUCAAUGCCCGAGAUACGGAUGAUGAAGAGAC
Danio rerio (zebrafish) is the source of this 257-nucleotide non-coding RNA. NCBI's taxonomy places the organism in Eukaryota, Metazoa, Chordata, Actinopteri, Cypriniformes, Danionidae. The record is from Ensembl.